CAGGGUCUUUCGACUGCCCAAACCCACUGUGAACUCUCCCUUUCGAGGGAAUCGAUAUUCGCAAUGCUUCGGCGGGUCGCUCGCUGGGGGAGCCCCGGGCCUGCGGAAACGCGCCGGCCCGCCGAAGGCAUGCGGACUCAAAAUAUUUCGAGCAACUUUCAGAGAGUUUACUUUCCGUCAUGGAAAAAAACCAUUUA
Molecule: unclassified non-coding RNA, 197 nt
Filed under: uncultured Sordariales
Lineage: Eukaryota; Fungi; Ascomycota; Sordariomycetes; Sordariales
Description: sequence contains ITS1
Source: RNAcentral